Molecule: long non-coding RNA, 22603 nt
Filed under: Triticum aestivum (bread wheat)
Lineage: Eukaryota; Viridiplantae; Streptophyta; Magnoliopsida; Poales; Poaceae
Description: long non-coding RNA (TAES_LNC022055)
Source: RNAcentral
ACAUUGGUUCGAAGGAGUAAUCCAGUACUCACACUAACAAAGAAACAUAUAAGAGAUCAUAACAUAAGAUAUUCGUAGGUAGCGAUUACAUGUUAGUAGAUUGCUCUACUAAACUAUUUAGUACUUCCACUAGAAUCAUGGAGCCCUUUAUUAGGAGGCGCCUAGUAAAAACCCUACGAAUGAAGAGAAACACAAAUGAUGUGGAAUAUUGUGAAACAAAGAGACUAGAAGUGGUGUUGGGCUCCGAUUCUUGCUUGUUUGAAAUUGAAAUUUAGUGGUAUCCGCCUUUGCCGCCUCCGGAUCCGCUACCUCCACCAUUGCCAGACCCGCCGUUGUAGCUGCCGCCCGUGCCCCCACCCUUUCCACCACCGAAUCCGGUGGCAUAACCUUGACCAAAGGAGCCAGUGCUACCAGUAUGCCCGCCCCCAAAGCCAGAACCAGAACCAACUCCCAUGCUUGGACCUUGAGCUACACCUCCACCUUGGCCACCACCGUUGCCGCUACCCCCUCCACUGGCAUUGCCUCCGGAAGUGUCAUCGCUGGCCGCCUGUCCACCUCCAGCGCCAUUACCACCUCCAUUUCCUCCAUCACCGCCACCACCGCCAGUACCACUACCUCCAGCAUCAGAGUAGCUGGCACCACCAGCAGAAGGAGCUGGUGCGGUUGCUAUGCCACUCUCACCGUAUCCUUCGCCGGCACCAUCUCCGGCUCCAGACCCGCUUGACCCAUCUGCACCAGCACCUCCACCACCGCCCCCACCCUGACCAUCAGCAUUGGCGUACCCAUUGCCACUAGGGGCUGAUGCCGAUCCACUCGAACCGACACCGUUUCCACCACCAGAGCCGGAACCAGACCCGGCCCCGCCUUGAGAACCACCGCCAGCACCGUUUCCUCCUCCUCCACCUGCUCCCUUGGCAACGUAAUUCUUAUUGGAAUCUCCACCACUCUCACCACCAUAUCCCAAGCCACCGCCUCCUCCGGACCCUUCACCCCAUCCACUCCCAACCCCACCCGACGAGCUGCCACCGCCUCCGCCUCCCCCGCCUCCACCCCCAGCACUAGAGGAACUAGCCAGCAUCCUCGAAGCAUCGGUGAAUCCAAUGCUCACGAGGACAACAAAGCCAAGAGCUACAAGCUUAGUGCUAGCAGCCAUUGUGAGUGAGCUCGGGGGAGUGUGUGAUGAGUUGCGUGUUGAAAGCAGACUGGGUUGCGUCGGUAUAUAUAGUGGAGGCCGUGCAUGGGUGAUUGAUGAUGAGUGUUGGAUCUCACACGCGGAAGGCGCGCACGCUUUGUGUUGUGAACUGACAUAGUGAACCGAUGACAAGUUCUCUAAUCACGUACGGUAGCAUGCACGUGGAGUAUUUACUUAAUCGGUAAUUAGUUGAUUAGAACUGGUCAGCUGUAGAAGCGUCUGAAGAUAAGUACUGACGCAUCGUUGAGAUUACAUCUCUGGCAAGUAGCAUCCAGAUUAACAAAUUGUUUUCUCUCCACCACAUGAAAUUAAGAACGUCAGUUGCCUUUACUCGAUACGCACGCAUGAACUGGAAGCCGUAGAUCACAGGUAAUCCUUUGACAUUGCACUUAAUGAAUGCUACUUGACCAUUAUCAAUCAUGAACACCGCGGAUCUAUAAAAAAGGAGAACGAAAACAUACGUAAAGUAAGUGUACUUACCGUACGUAAGGCAUUGUCUCUUACUUUUUUUUUCUGCGGGGCAUGUCUCUUACUGUUAAUUACCAACAGAAAAUGACUAGUGACUCACCUAAUCGUAAUAAGCAUUAACACUAGUACUCCUAGUCCUAGAAGCACAUGAGCUUGGCAUGCGGAAGAUGAGCCGAGCUCUGACCCGCCGUCUGACGUCGUUCUUCGUCGUCGUCGGUGCAUGCAGUUUGAGAAAGGCUUCAACUAGCUCCUACUAGCUGUAGCCGCUAGGCGAGUAGAGUUGACCUACGAAGGAGAGGGUUGACCUAGAUUUAUUGCACACUACUCCUAGGGUUUAAAGCUAACAGCGGCGACCUAGGGUUUAACGCGCCCUCGAGGUUCAGAAAUUUGACCACGUAGUGUAAGCACACAGACAGGAACACACUUGGAGAGUUGGAGUAUGCUAUCUUUGGGAUCGUUAUGGCGACGCAAACACCGAGAGUUGACCUACCCCAGGCUUAGGACUCGGUAUUCGAUUCUCCAGCUGCCAUCUUAACUAGGAGUAGCAGGCCAUCUUAAUUGACGGGAUCACCGAACAUGUGGUUAAUCCAUUGCCCCUCCAUCGCAUCGCUGGAGACUACCAUCGAUGAAACGUGGCUUAUUGCCGUGCUCUACUUUCGAUAAAGGAAAACAUAUUAAUAUCACGAAGAUAUCAAUUACACCCAACCUCUGCACCAACAAGAUAUCGAAGAGAUCAAGGAUGCACACAGCCAAAAACAAAAAUUAAAAAGAGAGAAAAAUAAAAACAAAGACCCCAUCGCAGUAAUGAAACACUCGUAACAAUAACACUCUAAACACCACAAAAAGUCAACCCCCGGACAACAGAAGAGGUUCUUCAAAAGCGACGCCUUCAAGAAAGAAACAAUGCGCAAGCGUUGUCGUCGCCCGAUCAAAGAUCUUGAGUCUUCGCCCUGGAGAGAGUCCGAGAUCCCAAAAACAAUGCCUUCGCAAGACCAUUGCCAGGUACAACCAAUGAAGGCCAUGCCUUGGAUUUUUCACCCUAGAGAUCGCGGCUCAGUACUAGAGAAGCACACCAAAAAAUAUUGUCCACCUGUGUUGCCGCCCCUCCUGCCAAGGCCACCGCUGCAAGUGCUCAACACCCGACACACAGGGGAAAAAACGGUGUCGCCAUUCUUCAGCGCAACCAAAACUCCUCUCCGCCAUUACAAGUCUCUGAUCACAUUCAUCAUGACUUUCUUCACCAUUAUCAACGCCGUGGAAAUCUAUACUUAGACAUGUCCCAUGGCACCGGCAAGACAGCGAAGCUUCGCGCCACACCCUCAUAAAGCAUCUCUGGCUGAAGGUGAGGGCGCGCCCGACCGGAUCGAUUUCGAUUUAGAUAUUCAGUGACGCCGUGCGCCACAAGCUGGGAUCUCCGAUAAGAAGACUGGAACUUGUCGGUGUCCGGAUCAAGGAGACCGGCAAGAAGCAGAUCAAAAUUUUGGAGCAGGAAGAACAGCAGGGCCAACCACCGCGGGACUCCCUUGGAUGCCGACACGCCAGAUCUGAGCAGUGAAAUCGGACAAUCAAUGGAGGAGCGGAUCCGAAUCGGAUCGUGGUGCUCACAUGCAAUACGCUGCAAGGAGACGCCAUCAUGGACACCAUCACGGAAGCCACCAGCCGCUGUGCCAUGUAGAUCGAAGGACCAUCGGGCUAGGAGAAAGCUCCAUCGAUGGAAAAGCAGAGGGCCCCGCCGCCAUUGUCUUAGGCAUCCGUGUAGCCUUUGCGUGUGGUCAACCUCUGAUGGCGACGAGAUGGGAGGUCCGAUGGCGGACUGAGAGGCCGGCGGCGCGAGAUCCCCCGAGUCGCCAGACACGAGCGACACGGGGGUCGUUUUAUCGUCUCGUGCUCUAUGACUGGAACCCUCCUUCAAUGUCAUGCCAAUCUUUCUUUCUCGGCGACUCUGAGCUAUUAGAAUAAUCCAAGACACGUCGUCGAUCAUUCAAGGACCUAGCACUCACACGAAGCACGACGCAAAGAUUUGUUAACAUGGUUCAUCAAUAUAUGGCUACAUCUCCGAAGUCUGACUGUGAACGCUUCUCCCCACAUUAUAUAGGAGGUCUAAGAUACAAGAGUCCUACUAGGACACUACUACAAUGUUACCCUUUCCUUCCAAACAUUAGCGCGAAUUGUAUUUUUAUUCUUAUUUAUUUUUGUGAGAGAAAUUAUCAAUCUAUUUAUCAAUCAUGACAGUAGAGAGAACAUAAGAGGUAAUAAAAAUUACAACCAGGUAUAUGGACCACCUAGCGACGACUACAAGCACUGGAGCGAGUCGAAAGCGUGUCUCCAUCAUCGCCCUUCCCUCACCGGAGUCAGGUAAACCUUGUUGUAGACUUGUAGUAGACAGUCGGAAAGUCAUCGUGUUAAGAUUCCAAAGGACCAGUGCACUAGAGCAGCAACCAUCGCCAAUGAAGAGAGUUGAAGAUCGUAAAGAUCAAACCUGUAACCACACAAACGAAGACGAACAAAAAGUGGAUCCAAAUGAAUCCAGCAAAGACCAGCACCGACCGAAUCUCACGAGAUCCGACAAAGACAUACCUUCACACAUCCUCCGAUGACGCUAUUCACACCAUCGGGGCGGGGAUAGGAAUGCUCUCUAAGUAGUCACAUGUCGCGUGUUGUGUAGAACCGUGUAGCAUCUAUAAAGCAAAACCUUGGUACCAAAGCUAGCUUAUUUAUUAACGAGAAUGAAUCAUGCAGCAGCCCCUUACCUUUCUUAGAAAUUCCAUAGUUUCUGGUUAAGCUUAAUCUAGGUUAAAAUCAUCAUAAGUUUAUUGAUAUUUUCUUGAUAGAGUUUCCUGUAGCUCCUUCACAAUAUACCUACACUGCAUCAAUAGUUAGAGAAAACAGAAUGACUAGCUAAUGUGAAAAGUUGUGAUCAUCACUAUUUGUUAUACCCUCUACUUUCAAUAUACUUUUAAAAGUAGCCAUAGAUCUGGAGAAAAUGUCUUUUUGGUGUGGCCUUGCUACCAUUUGCAUUUUUUUAUAUGAUGGUUUAGUGGUCGUCUCUACACCUAUGUGGUCUCAGUGUUGCACUAUAUGUAGGCAUUCAGCUUUAGCAUCAUGUUGGGAUCCAGGAUAGGAACUAAUAAGAUGCAGAUUUGAAUGUAGAGAAGGUAAAUUGCCUUUUCUUAACAGAGAAAGGGACCCCGAAGGAUCCCGAAACUUUAUUCAUAAAAACAUAUUACAACUAUGAUUAUAGUUGGACCCAACGGACACUAGAAAUUACAAAUAAGUCCCUAGACUUUGCAAGAAGGACCCCAAUCUAAGAUACUGAAUCGCAAUUAGGUCCUCAACCUUCUCUCAGCUUCCACCUCGCCAUCACAAGGUUCAGAACCACUUGGGGAGACAAGGCCGACGAAACACAUAGCCACGACCACCGAGAUGACGCUAUGACGCCUCCCUUUAGGCAUUUGGGCCCGGGGGGAAGUUUUGGACGUCUUUCGACCAGAAAAGUCACUAGAUCCGCGAAGAAUGCCCAUCGUUCGCUCUCCAAUGAGCGGUAUAGCUCUGCAUCGAACUCAGGUGUGGAUUGAUGUGUCCAAUUUUUGCGUAAUUUUUAUACCUUUUAUUUUUGCACCUUAGUGUUAGGAUUUUAGGAUUUUACCACGUCCACGCACCCUUUUCUCUUUUUUCACUAGCAUUUCAUCUACGUAGGUAUUUGGGGGCACGAGGAAAGAAUGCCAAGGAUAUGAUGUAAAAAUCAUGUUAAUUGGCACGAUAAAAACCUAUCAUAAAAGGGAGAAGUGGAAUGGAGAAGAAAAAACAAGGUCAGGCUCUAGAGCAAAUGAUGGUGUCCAAUAUGACCACGCGUGCUCGUACUGCUGAUCGUCCCAGCUGUCGUUGCAACCUCCUAGUCCAGUACUUCUACCCUGGGCGAUCGGAUCAAGGUUCAUAUGCCUACAGCCACCACAAACUCAUCCAGAAUGAAGAACCCUAACCUCUAGAAAUGAUCCGGAGGGAGGAUUGAUUGAAGGGUUCCACCGCGACAUCACUCCCAUCGAGGAGGCAUCAAGAUCAUCCAUCUACACCUUCACCAUCCCAUCACCAUUUCUUUGUAAUAAGAUAGACCUUGUGGAUCCAUUUUUAUAUUACAUAGUUUCAUCCAUGUUUAUCACAAUUCAUCAUGUUAUUAGGUAGGAACCCUAGUAUGUUUAGGUACGAAACGAUGAUAGGAUUUUACAUCCUCUUUAUAUGUUAUGUUGAUGAUAUUCUUGAUGGGUGAAGUCGACCAUCCAACAUAUGCCUCUUUUGGAUGAAAGGUCAUUACUAUUUGUGUGAAGGUGAGUUUGUGGAGCUUUGUACUGACAGUACCUAUUUCCCUCCUUCCUUGGUCAUUGCAAUAGGGGAUCAACGGAGACCGCCUUCAGCUGCGUCCAUGAGAAAACCCUUAAUCACCAUUCUAAAGCCAGUGUGUGGACAAAAGGUGGUGGUGUAUGUGAUACCGGGUUGUUGCAUGUAUGCACGUAUCUAUGCUUGGCUCCGCCCACUUGUAGAAACAAGUGGCUUGGGAAUCUGAACCUAGAACUAUCCAUUAGCAUAGGUCGCAUUAGAAACAUAAUAGAGGGGAAUCCGGACUCCCCGAGAACGACUUAGCCUAUUGAGUCCAAACUACCAUAAUUCCGUGAUUGCAUAUUUUUAUUUUAAUCUUGUUCUUUAUUCUGUGUUCACAACUCACUUGUAAUAUUUCAAACUUAUAUUUCCACUUUGCUUUGGACCGCAACUAACUUGCAGGCACAAUAUUAAAAAUAUCAACGAGAGACAAAUUUCAUUUCCUAUGCUCCCUGUGGGAUCGAUACUCUUACUUCAAAGAAGGACAUCAAGGAUACGUGCGACGAUAGCGAGCUACGGAUUUGCAUCCUCCAUCACCAUCUCCAUGACGUCUACACAAAGAAGAUGAAUGAGAGAAGGGGAUCCUCCAGAUCCGGGAACCAACACAGCCCCUCGUCACCACAGAUCGGGGGAACCCUGGACAAGGGCCUCCAAUCUGACUAGCACGAGAUCUCCAACCACCCCUUAUCCGACCGCCAUGGUUGUAGAUGCAUGCAACAGAAGCAAGAGAGGAAGAACCAAAUCAAGUUUAUUUGAGAGGAAAGAAAGCCUACGACUAUAUGAAAGAACAAGAUCUAGGCAUCCCUCCCACUCAACGCUCGCCACCAUGGCCGCCGGCGACCGGGUAUGGGGGGAGCAGCCGGAGCAAAGGAGGAUGGGAGGGAUCAAGGAAGGAGGGGACGAGCGGCACAGAGCCCGUCGCCAUAAAGGGCAAGUCCAAAAGUCUGUCGGUGUCUCACUCCUACGUCAGGCAAGUUGCUUUUCUAUUGUGAAGCAUGCACAAUUAGUAUUCAGCACUAAGGCUUGUCUAAGACAUGUUAUAGCCGGGCGCAGUGGAGCACACCCUUCCAUCUAACAAUAUGUAUCGCCAAUAGCGCUCGCUACGGGUGAAAUCACUCACUAAGGCACUAUUGUGGGUCAGCCCAUUAGCAGUAGAUACGUGCGGGUAGAACGCUACUUUUAGGAAGCUUCUAAAACAUUCCGCCCACUUUUGGGAGAUUUCAAAAGGUUUUUCCCUUUUUUUAUUUUCAUUAUUUACCGGUUUUAUAGAUUUUUCUGUGAUUUUUUCUUUCUUUUUUUCCAGUUUAUUUUCUUUUUUAAUUCACGAGAAUUACUUGAAUUCACGAACAUUUUUUCAAAUUCCAACACUUUUUCAGUCCAUGAAUUUUCAAAUUCAUGAACACUUUCUGAAUUCAUGAACAUUUUUUGAAUUCUUGAUGCUUUUUGAAAUUCAUGGAAAGUUUUUGAAGUGAUGAUUUUUGUGGUUAAAUUCAUGAACAAUUUUCCACUUCAUGAACCUUGUUUAUAAUUCGUGAAUAAAACUUGAAUUCAUGAAAAACAAUUAAGUUCAUGAACAAUUAUCGAAUAUGAACAGGGUUUCAAAUUCGUGAACACUUGGAAAUUCAUUAAAAAAAUACAUUCGUGAACAUUUUCUAAAUAUUGAACAUUUUGAAAAUUCUUGUACAUUUUUUUAAAAUUCACGAACAUUAUUUGAAUUCAUAAAAAAUUGGAUUUAUAAACAUUUUAUUUCAAAUUCGUGAACAUUUUUGUAGCUAACGUUUUUGACCAAUAUUGUAAAUAUUGUAAAAUAUACGAAAACAUACAAACAAAAAAACAAUGUGAAAAAACGAAGGAAAAAAUGCACUUGCUUGUUGGCUGGUUGAUGGAAUCUCGCUUUUUUGCUAGCUAGGCCAGGCUCAUGUAGGAUACCGCUCGACGGUGCGGGAGGUACGCACACGACUUUUUAUUUUAAGGCUAGGCAGGUACGCACGCGAGUUAUGUCUCGUUUAUACUUACAAGCAAAAGGGCUCAUGCGUUUCAAUGGGAGAGAAAAAUUCAUAAUAUUUUGCUGAAUCAUCGAGAUACACUAUCGCUUCCAAUUUCGUCAAAUCAUGAACAAUUUUUUAAAUCAUGAUCAUUUUUUAAACUCAUGCACAUAUUUGAAAUGGUGAACAUUUUUCAAAUUCGUGACCACUUUUACAAAUUUUCGAACAUUUUCAAAAAUAAAGAAUAUUUUUUGAAUUCAUGAACAUUUUAUAAUAUUUGCAAACUUUUCUUAAAAAAUAAUAAUAAAAAUAAGCAUUUUCUUGAAUUGGUGAACAUUUAUAGAAUCGGCAAUGUUUUUUGGAAAUUGCUGGAACAAUUUUUAAAAUUCACGAACGUUUUCUUGAUUUAAUGAGCCUUUUUUUCUUUAAUGAACAGUUUUUGAAAUGCAUGAUCAUUUUUUGAAUUAGCGAAAAAUUUAUGAAUGUAUAAACUAUGUUGUAAGUCUCAGAUUGUUUUUGAAUUUCUAGUAUAUUUUUCCAUUCAUGAACGUGUUUUCCAUUGGCAAAAUUUUGUUCAAUUUCAUUAAGAUUUUUAAAUACAUGAACUUUAUAAAAUCAUAAAUUUUUUUGAUUUCCCAAACAUGUGUUUACAAAAUUUCGAACAUUUUUUGAAUAAGCAAACAUUUAUUUUAAAAAUUGCAAACAUUUUUUGAAUCCAUAAACAUUUUAUUUAAAAAUUCUCAUUUUUUAAAAAAUUGGAACCUUUUGAAUUCCCAAAUUAUUUAAUAUAGGAAAAACAAAAACGAAAAAGAAAAGAAAACAUAAAAUACAAAAUCCUCUAUUUCUAAAUUGCUAGCCGUCACGAACUAUUUCUCUCAACAUGGAAGCAUGCCAGAUCCUCGCAUAACAUGCAUGGAAAAAGGCUCAUCCCCACAUCAUCACACAACAUGCAAACUUGCCACUUCAUCAUAACAUGCAUGAAAAAAAGACCAAUCUCAACAUGCAAACAUACAUGAGAAUUUUCGUUCUAUUAUGCUAUAUAUAUUUAAUAAACCUUUUAGAACUAUAUAUUAAUCAAACAUAAUAAUUAUAUGUAUUUUUAGUUUAAACCUUUUAUAUUAUUAUUCAAAUAUCCAUGUUUCAUUCAAGAAAUCACAUUGAAAUAUGCUGCAAAAUAUGUCCACAACAAGGUGCGGGGUAUCAUCUAGUUUAUAAAAACAGGCCGCCCGGACAUGAGCCGUCCCAUAAAGGGUCCGCUGCGUCUUCUCCCAGCACACGGAGCGCAGUAUAAGAGGUCCCUACUGCAUGGGCAGGCCCAGGGCGAGGAUUUCCCUGUGAGAAUUUUUUUAUCACUUAUAGAUGGCAUUGAUGGGUAAUAUUUUACAAUUUUGGGAGCAAUUUUUGUGACGUACCAUUAGAAACAAUAGCCCCUUUAUUAUUACUAGCAAAAGAGCCCGUGCGUUGCAACGGGAGAAAAAACACAACACACACUCUUAACCGAACAACCAUCACUCAAGACCACAAUAGGUCCAUCUCCUUUAUUUUAGCGACACAUCAUAUUUGUGUUGCCGCUUAUCCUUCUUCCCACCCUCGCCGACGAUGGCCUUAGUGUUCACACAAACCAAAACGUGUUAGAAUGUGGUUAAUCCUAAGACGUCUCUCUCUCCCUCUGUCCUCCCUCUCCCUCUCUCUCGCUUUCUCUCACACUCGCGAUGAGAAAUCUGUUGUUUUCCCCUGCGACGUAUUCAGAGGCAUGCAUGUGUAGUUCUUGAUGUUUUCUUUUCCCUAUAUGAUUAUAGUGGGUGUUUAUUUGCAAUCCGGAUCGCCGCCUGUAUCAAAGAAAAAUGGACCGUGCGCUAUAGUUAUAAGUUUCCUUCCAAAACAAUAUUUAAAAAAUAUUUAACAUGUAAAAUUAACAUCAUAUACAGAUUUCAUGCAUUUUUCUAAUCAAAUUUCAUAUAUAACAUAUUAAAAUCGGAGUUACGUUUUAAAAUAUGCGUAUAAUUUAGAAAGCCAUUUGUUUGAAUUAAAUAUCUUUCAAAAUAAUAUUUAUAAAUACUUAACAGGUUAAAAUAAUCUUAUAUUCAUAUUGUACAUAUUUUUCUAAUCAAAAUUCAUAUAUAACAUGUUUAAAUUGGAGUUACGGUUUAAAAGAUAUGGAUGAUUUAGAAAAACAUUUGUUUGUAUUAAAUAUGAUCCGUGAAUAGAAUACCUAAAUAGUCAAGGGGUUUUUUGAAAAUCUGUAAAAUAACGAUUCGGAGUGACUUAAAUCUGGACUGCGGGUUGAUUUCAUGUAAACGCAGGGGCUUUUUUGCAAAUUGGCGUGACGGACGGGCAGAAACCCUGCGUGCUUUAUUAUUACUAGUACAAAUGCCCGUGUGUUGCACCGGGCGAAAAAUUAAAACCCGCUCCAUGUGCCAUUAUACAACACUUUUUUAAUCCAUGUUUCGCAAACAUCAGAAAUAAGAUCGUCGAUAUUUACCUUGAAAAUGGGAUUUGUGGUCUUUCAUCUUCCCAUGUGGACAACAAAAUACUUCAUGAAGCACAUCAGAAAUAAAUUAACAGUAGAAACUACUUUUAAAUUAGGAUGAGGGACAUGUAAAAGUUGUGCCUCCAAAAACUACAUGUGUGAAAGAUCUGUACUAAUACAUCCACUCUUGCAAGUACUUAGUAUUCACCUAGCAUACCUACAAGAUCUACAUGAUUACCAACUAUACAAAUAUAUGUUUAGAUCUUUGGGUUACUUGUAGUGUGUUCUAACCAAAUACAAUUUUAAGAUGAUAUGCUGCAAUACUUUGUUCUAGUCACCCAUCUGCCGAACUACUAAACAAUCCAGUACAUGUUUUGAUUAGCAAGACAGAAAUAUAUAGAUACUCUUCAAAUUAAACGGAGUCCAUUGAAUAUCAGUAAAUUUGUUGCACAUACAAAUACCUCUGCGUUGCACCGGGCGAAAAAGUAAAACAUGGGCAUGUACUAAGUUGGCUUUACUUUUUUCUGUCUGGGCGUCCACACUCUCAAAGCUGGGUAGUACGUACAGUACUUUAUAUUAGACUGUUUUGUUGUUGCACUUCUGAUCUAGUAGUCGGUUUCCUUUUUAGUUUUGUGAUCAGUAUUAAUCCGCGAAGGACACAAACAUCAAAUCGUCAAACAUAUCUCUCAGCCAACAUGAAAUCGUCAAACACAUCUCUUAGCUGCUUGAGCGCGGAUGUGUUCUCGCCGUCCUCGGGGCCGCCGGAGCGUGUUUGCCUUGAACGCGGAUGUGAGCUUACGGUUUCCUCGACAUCUGCUUGAUGACCCUUUGUCGCGACUCACUUACCUUGAACGCGAACGUGAGCUUACGGUUUCCUCGACAUCUUUUUGAUGACCCUUUUGCCGCAACUCACCGGCGAUGGCAUGUAGGCUCUGCUGCUCGUCGUCACUGGUGCGCCACGGUUGGAGCAGAGGGAGGACAACGGCGCGUGAAGACCGCCAUGGUUGGCAUGGAGGGAGGAAAAAUGGCACGCGAAGACGCCUCGAGGGAGAUAAGGUAGGUCGCUGGAGCACCAAAACAACGCGGCCGCAGUUCUUUGUUUAUUCCCAAUCUUAAUGAAGGGUUGCCACACACUGAGGAAACAGAGCAUCAUCCAGCGGAAGCAACACACAAACCAGGAGGAGGAGCAUAGUUCAUAUCUUCAGAUUGAGGGGAACAUAUUUGUGGAAAUUAAAUAAUAAAAGCACUGCAACUGCUAGUAAACAACAUGAUAAUUUCAAGCAAUACACAUGACCAUCAUCAAGCACAGAAUAAUGUUAAAGAGUACAGGUCUAGAUUUCAUUUCAAGCUAGAAACUCAAAGUCGUUUACUGAGUGGAGUGUAGCAUCUAUAUAUAUGGCUCAAAGUCGUUUACUACCUUUUCCACCCCAAGUUCUCUAGUAGAAAAUAACCAACAGUACAGUUAUACAAAUUACAAUUAGCACAAAUAGAUUCUCAACUAUAUAUAUGGUUAAUCAUCCUUCAUAAUUUUAAGUCUUUACAAUUCAUGUGUGUACCAGUAUCAUUUGAAAAUAGAUCAAACAACACCCUGUGCACUUCAAGUCUUCAACCAUAACAUAAACAAAAAUUUAGUCUGCUGCUACAAGUACAAACAGAAUCCAUAUAUGUAGGAUGGCAUUAUGUGUUGCUUGUCAGUCAAAUGCAGUCUACUGUUGGCAACAGCUAUAUUAGCUACAGUAAACUGACGAAUUGACAAACAGAUGAGACCCAUCAGAUGCUUCAAAAGUACAUGCGGCAAAGUAGGUCUAGGCGAUCGCUGAUGGUCUUCCGGCAGUCCGCAGAGGCGAUGGCAGAUGGCCUUGCUGCAAAGUCAGCGAAGGCGAAGUUGACGGAGACGACGGCUGCAAAGUCGACGGAUACAACAUAUUACAGAGAUGUCAAAACCAAUUAAUCCACUCCACUAAAUACACCUCAUAAUCCUAUUUUGCUAGGUGCAGCAAGCAUAUCUAUGUGUAUGCAAUUAAGCUAUUUGAUAACCGAAGAAAGAGCAGAAUAUAUGAAACUUCAAGAAUUACUCCAGCAUCAUGCCCAAGAAUUACUGUAACCAAGUUGAAGCCACCAUGUUCAGGUAUAUGUAAUCAGCAACAUGAAAUUUCUUGGUUCAAUCCUUGGCUAGUAACAAUACUGAAACAGGAGCUUGUAUCAUAUCAGCCAAACUGAAAUUGUGAACAAUCGGAAGUAGCACCAAUUUUCAGAAAAACUAAACUGAAACAGGCGUAGAUUUAUUCAGUACAUUGGAUUUUGUCUCAGCCAUCAUUUAUUUGAGUGUCUGUCUCUAUAUACUGCAUCUCUGUUUGGCUGCAUGCUCUGGAGAGGAGCAGUAGCUACUCCACUGCACUUUUCUUUGUGUGGCAGCAGAAGCAGAUUAACAUAUUCCACUUGUGUACAAAGGGCAGCAGCAGCAGAUUAACAUUAUAAUUUAUGCUUGUUUGAUGUGUCCGCAGAUUAACAUUAUAAUACUAACUACAACCACCCACCUUGUAUCAGUCUCAGAAUAUGGCCAGCAUGCACACUUAACUCUGAAUCACUUAGCACAGCAAUGGCCCUUUUUUUGGCUAAAAAGUCAGAGAAGGUUAACAAGGCUUUGCACGGCAAUGUGCAUCCCCAAGAGCAACAACUCCCCAUAAGCUACAAUUUGUAUGAAACUCAACUUUUUUGAUUUGUUUUGCGUUUUUAGGAAUCACAAAUAUAUGAUUUUUUUAAAUCUCGACUGAUGAUUGUAACAGCACAAAAGAAUUCAUUGGGGGCAUGCAUAGCCUGUUGGAGGCUCGAACACAAAACCAUGCACUCCCUUUGGUUGUUGGUACAACAUAAUGCAACAUAAUGCAAAUUAUGUAUGACAAUCCAUUAUGCAAAUUACCUAUGAAACUCUGAAUCAACGAAAUUACAAAUAUUGAGCAGGUGUACUGGAUGCAGAGUAGCUAACAGAAGUGUAGCAUCUAUGAAUCUAGUGGAAGCAUUACAGACUUGAAUCAAAUUUCUGAACUCUGAAGAAAGCAGUUAGAAAAUAACUGAAACUUUGCUAAAAACUGUUGAACUAUGUACUGAAUAAAAGAAUAGGUUCGCAAUUCUGUGGCAGACAGAGAAACAGGGGCUACCCUUGAUUUCCUUUGUAGUGAUUUGGCUUUCAAGGGGCUACAUACCUCUGCUGUAGCCGCCGUUGUCGAUAUUGGACGGCUCGACGGAUGUUCUUCUACCUCCGUCGAACUCGGCGUCUCUUCCUCCGGCGAACUCGAAGGCGACAUGUUUUCUGGUCCAAGUACUCCGCGAUUUGAUGGAUUUGCUGGUCCAAGCACGCAACCUGAUGGAGGUUCCGGCCGAGGACCCUUCCUUCUUAUAGGACACGGCACGAAUUCAAUCCAAAUCAUACACGGGGGCAGGAUCUCGGAGAUUGAGAAGCUUACUCGUGGAGGCCGGAGAGGAUUGGCGGGGGCGGGCAGGUCACAGUGGCGCGUGCUCAUGGCCGGUGGCUGAUUUAUGCAGAUUCACAUUCAAAGUGCAGAUUCUCUCUAUAAAUUUUUCGUAUACAUGCCUAACAACUUUUUUGCUACAUGUUGAAUACUUUAAGAAUACAUGUGAACAUUUUUUUAAAGCAUGUUUGGAAUUAUUUUCAAAAACAUGCUAAUAGUUUUCAAAUACACAUUGACCUUUUUUAAUGGUAUUAUAUUUUCUUUAAAUCAAGCUAACAUGUUUUACAUUGUAUAAAGAUUUUUUUAAAGCCAUGAACUUAUAUUUCAAAUGCAUGAACAUUCUUUUCAAUGUCAUGGACACUUUUUUGAAUUGUGCGAAACAUUUUUAAUUACAUCAUUUUUUACAUCGUAUAAAGGAUUUGAAAAUUGUACAAACAUAUUUUUUUAAACCCGUGAAAUUCUUUUUAAUUGUCACUAUCAUUUUUUUAAUGCCAAGAAAUAUUUUCUAAACUACAUGAAGAUUCUUUUUACAUCAUUUAAAUAUUGUUUGAAUGAAAUGGUUAGCUGCUGAAUCACCCUUUUUUGCUAUAGAUCUGAAUCACUCAGAAGUCAUCGGAUGCACAUCGUGCGGUCACACUUUCCGCUGAUCUUUCACACUAAGUGAGGCGUCUAGUAUUUGGGGCAAUAACCACAACAACAAAAAUCAAGUGUUGGGUGCUGAAGUCGAACUCCGGCUUUCAAGGAUUUGGUGCAAAAAUCAAGUGUUGGGUGUUGGAGUCAAACUCCAUGUCUGAAGGAUUGUGGGACAACAACCACUUUGACUAAGCCACUUGUGGCGAUAAACUAACGGGGUGUGUUUUACUUGUAUCCACGCCCAAGGUUGAGCGGUUAUAGAGAGAAAUAAAUGCUAGGCCGCCUAUAGAAUUUGAACUUUAGUUUUUUUUUUGUCGUGUGUUCCACGUGAUGAGAUUUUGUUAUAAAAAACUUUUUUUACACGAUGACUUGAGGACAAGGUGGAUGCCAGUGAUUCUCAAAUAUUCAACAUCUGGUGUCUACCAGUCAUUUGUGGUUCCUUAGUUGAACCAAAAACAACAAAAUUAGACAAACAAUGAUUUUGUUUGUUCUGACCUGGUAUUUUAAUGGACUCUGACCAAAAUAAAGUUGUUGAAAUGUACCCCCGGUAACUUCUGUGUGAUUAACAUGUUAAUUUACGCACCACAGACUUAAUAACUUACGUACAAACACCAUAGUAAUCUUGCCCCCAUGGUAAGAAAAGUUUUUUUGAAACAUACCCUUGAUAAAUUCUAUGUGAAUAGCGCGGAAAUUCAUACAUUGUGAACUAAUAACUUACGUACAAACAUCAUGGUAACUUUGAUCACAGGUAAAACAAGUUCUUGAACAUGUCGUGGUAACUUAUAUGUGAAUAGCGUGGUAAUUUGUGCAUUGUAGAUUUGAAUAACUUACGUACAAACAUCAUGAUAACUUCUGACCUUGGGGUCAAAAAAAGUUGUUGCAAGAUACCCCGUAAACUUCUGUAUAAAUAAUGUGAUAGUUAUGCAUCACAAGCAUGAUAACUUAUGUACAAACAACAUGAUAACUUUUUUGACCCCCGGAGUAAAAAAGUUGUUGAAACAUACCUCGGUAACUUCUAUAUGAAUAGUAUGAUAUUUUAACACCCUAGACUUGAUAACAUAUGUACAACACCAAUGUAACUUUGAUCCAGGAAAAAAAAGUUGUGUCAAACAAAUCCCUGGUAAAUUUUAUGUGAAUAGCAUGGUAAUAUAGGUGUGGCUGGAUCAUGCAAUAAAAAUACGCAGUAGUAGGCCUGAUAAGUUACAUACAACACCAUGGUAAAUGAAAUUCUACAUGAUGUGUUAUAUAUUCUCACUAAAAAUCAUUUAUUGUUUAGCUGGUAACUCGAUUUCUACGGAAGGGGUUAUAUAUUCUAACUGGAAAUCGUUUUGACGUUCAACGCGAUAGUGAAAUAAACAACAACGCAAAGCUUUGUUAAAAAAAUAGGAGCUUAGCCCAGAUGUGUACUCCACUCCGGAUGAGAGCUAAGGUUUGGAGUUUGACUAUAGGCAUCUGUCAUUUUGCCUAUUAAAGAUGCAACAAGAGUCGCCGGAAGGAGCAGUAGUGGUUAGCACAAGGAACGCGAUCUUUGUCUAAUGAAUCGUGAGACGUUUGGCGGCGUCCCUAAAGAUAGAACAUUCGGCGGUUAUGAUACUCAUGUUUCUAAAUGACACAAACUUUUUUAUGAAACGCGUGAAAUGUUAAAAAUGUGACAAACAUUUCUUUUUGAAUGCUAUCAACAUAUUUUAAAAUUUGCAUGAUUAUUUUGUUAACAUUGUAUAAAUAUUUUUUUAAUGUGUGGUGAACAUUUUUAAAUUCUGACUAAGUAAAUUUUGGAAUAUAUAUCAAAAAUAUAAAUAAAGUACAAACAAAAUUAAAAAUAAAUGGGCCAACCAAUUUAGAGGAUCCAUAAAGGUGAGAUGUACUUGUGUCUCGCCGCAGGCUAGACAAAGACGCACCCCCAAAUUUAAAAUAACCUAAAAGUUACCAAAUUGAAUAUAAUGGUAAAACACAAUAAUAUUAAAUAGCAGGAAAAACAAUCACUCAAAAAUCUAUUUUUAUAGUAAAGUUAUUCACAAACUAGUGAUUCACAUAAAUUUCAAAGAAUUCAAAUUUAAACAAUUCAAAUUUGAAAAACUUAUGGCACUAACAGAAAGUUUAUAAUUUUUGUGACAUAAAAGCAAAAAAGAAUCACUGAAAAACUGUAAGUAUUUAGCUAUAAGUAGAAACAAAAGAAAUAAAUAAAGUAAAAAAACAAAACAAAAAAAUUGGAAAAAAAGGCCACCUACUGGACCACCACGGCUUGAAUACGACUAGAAACCCAACCAGCUAGUUGGGCCAGGAUUCAGGCCCGCAGCAGGCCAAGUAGGCCCACAUGCAGAGGAGUGUGAGAUUAGGCCCGUAAGCCUGUAGUUGAGAGGAGCUUGAGAGGGUUGGCGCAGCAGCGCUUAUAAACCACUCUCGAGCCCUCUCAGCUAGCGAGGUGGGACUAAACAUUUGGCCCCGUGCAGUACCCUCCUUUCGUCCCGGUUGGUGGCACAAACCGGGACCAAUACCCACCUUUGGUCCCGGUUCGUGCCACCAACCGAGACCAAUCCACACCUAUGGUCCCGGUUCUAGCCUCCAACCAGGACCAAAGGUCUCUGCUUCCCACCCUUUUGGCUACUAAAAACUGACCAUUGGUCCUGGUUUGUGUCAGGAACCGGGACUAAAGGUAGGUAUUGAUCCCGGUUUGUGCUACGAACUAGGACUAAAGGCUUUCUUAUAUAAGUGGCACUUAAGAUUUUUUCCCAUUCUCCCCCAAAGCCAAUGCCCCUGUGCCCGGAUGCCGCCUGGCUGAUCCUCGUCGCCGACGCCUCCCCGACCUCGAUGUCGCCUCCUCGACGCCUCCCCGCACCCCUGCCCUGCCCCGUGCCUCUGCCAGCCCCGACCUUGCCGUUGCUGCCCGCUCCUCGUUGCCGACGCGGUCCCAAGUGAGCACCCCGCCUUCCCCCCUGCCCCGCUGCCCGCUGCAAUUUUUUGUUCUUAUAAAUUUUAAGUAAAUGGAUAUGCAUGUAUGCAUAUUGUUCAUAUGGAUGUAUGUUGAUGUAUGUUGAUAUAUGGAUGUAUGCAUAAAUGGAUAUGUAUGCAUAUUGUUUUUAGUAAAUGGAUAUGUAUGCAUAAUUUUUCAUAAUUUUUCAUAAUUUUUUUGUUCAUAUAUAUGAUGAUUUUUUUUGUUCGUAGAUGAUCAUAUAUGAUGUUUUUUUGUUCAUACAUGAUCAUAUGAUGUUUUGAAAAGAUUAGAAUUGUUAUACAAAAAAUGGUGCAUACGAUCAUGAUUUGCUUCCAAAGAUAUAUACUUUGCUUCUAAAUUGUUGUCAGUGAACUGCUUCCACACGAACAUAUAUUUGUUUACAUGAAAAGGGAAAAAGAGUUAUAUUUUAAAUUUCAUGGGGAUAUAUUUGCAUAUGAUAUGUCCUAUGUUUUGUCGGAGUGUUGAUUCAUUUCCAUUCCGGCAAAUUUCAGGCGCUUGAUAUGUCCUAUUUUAGCAAGGGUCAUGCCGGAUUUUUCCGUGAAUUUAAGCAUGACUUGUGCUAGAAUAUGUAGAAAAUAUCGAGUGCCCCGGAUUUUCUAGAAAGAGAAUUAAAUGACAUUUCGAGUUGACUUUAAGUCUGUUGGGGCUCCAUACAUGACAGUCAAAAAAUCAAUGAGGGGAGAGUCUCCACCAUAUAUGAGAGAAGAAGAAUGCCGACUGUUGUCGUGGGGGUCGUUUUUCCUUCUUCUCCUUGUGUUAGACCUUUGUUAUGCACUAGGGGAAGGAGUAGUGACCAUCAUCAACGGUUGAAAAAUCGGUGAGGGAGUGUCCACCAUAUAUGAGAGAAGAAGAAUGCCGACUAUUGUUGUGGGGGGCGCUUCUCCUUCUUCUCUUUGUGCUAGACCUUUGUUAUGCACUACGGGAAGAAGGAGUAGCAACCAUCAUCGAUGGUCAAAAAAUCGGUGAGGGAGUGUCCACCAUAUAGGAGAGAAGAAGAAUGCUGACUGUUGUUGUGGCUGUCGCUUCUCCUUCUUUUCCUUGUGCUAGAUAUUUUUAAUGCACUAGGGAAAGGAGGAGUAACGACCAUCACUGACGGUCGCAAUAUCAGAGAGGGAGUGCCCACCAUAUACGUGAGAUAAGAGUUUAGGAAGGAAGACUUGAUAGACCUAAAGUCAACCCGUUGCAUAUUGAGUAAUAGUGAUCUAUGUGUUGAGUUUCCUGGUAGUUGCCCUCGACUGAUUUUCAAUGUUUCAAAUAUGAACAUAGGAAAUGUUUGACGACGAAAGAGAAUUUGUUAUGUGCGAAUACUGUGAAGAUGAGCGCGACCUGUGCGACAGGCCUCACCUAGUUGAUGGUAGGUGCUUCAGCAUCAUGCUGCAUGAGACAUUCGAAGUGGAUAUAGUAAGUCACAACGGCAACUCUUGUUUCGUAAUCAAGCAUGACUUCUGCUUCUUUUGCUUCAACUUAUAAUUUUAAUUUUUUUACAAUUCUACUAGCGUAUCUCCUGCCAUACAAGAAUGUAUGUCUUGGAUAAAAUUGGUUUCAGUACUAUGGGAAGUAUGGAGGUAAAGAGAGUUCACUUGAGGAUCGAGCAUGGUUCUACUUUUGCCGUAAAAUUAUACAAUGCAGACACCUACUCCUAUUUUGAAUGCAAAAAUUGGAGAGCAGUAUGCAAGGCCUAUGCAUUUGAGCCUAAUAUGCUUGUCACCUUUGAUAUUCGUCCGAAAGAUGAAAUUAAAGGUAAUAUCGAUAUCUAGGUCGAUGUGCAGACGCCUCCAGUUCUACCAUUAUGUGAGUUUCUCAACCAUAUUUAUUAAGUAAUUUAUAUUGAUUAUUUAAAAAUAGUUGACAACUAAUUUCUAUUGACAUCUUAUUUCCAUUCAAGCAAACAUGUCCUGCGCUUGGUAGACAACACCUACUACUAUCCCGGGGCUGGACUAAAUUGCGAGAAGAUUAGUCAUUAUGUUUCAUGACUUGAGGAUCUUGAUACUGUCAAGACAGGUUAUUUUUCUGGACUUCGAAAUAUUAGUACUACAAACGUGCGACCACUAGUCUGCGUAUUGAACUACGGUCACAUCUAUUUACGAAAGAUGGUAAGAUUUUUUCUUUUUGUCCUUAGUGCAUCUUUUGCAUACAUUAUUUUUUAAGCUAAACUUCCUUGCUAAGUAUGUUACAACGAUGUUCUUCAACAGGGACUCCUGAUGAAUGUUGUGCCUCGUUGGAUCGAGCCUGAAGGUCGCAUGACAAUGGUUAGCUUACUGCCAAGAUAUACUGCAUUGUACAUGAGUGCAUUCAUGAUUUCUUAAAGCGAGCAAGACUUAAUAGUCAAAGACUGGAGCAAAAUUGUGAACGAUCACAGCAGAGGAAUACUAGGGGGCAGCAAUCAGAAGCGCAGUCCACAAUUAGGAGAUGGGUUCAUCUGCAUUCUCCAAUAUGAUGGAGCGGGAGUGCUACACAUGUUUUAUGCUAUUUUACCUGAGAGAGAGCAGCAGGAGUGAUUAGCUAGAUAGAAUGAGUUUGAAGAUGUUGAUGUGCUACACUAUGACUAUGAUGAUUAAAUAGCUAGUGUUAGGUGGUAAUGACUAUGAUGAUUAUUAUUAGCUAGUGUUGGUGGUGAUUAGAUAGCUACACUAUGACUAUGAUGAUUAAAUAGUGUUGCCGGUAAUGACUAUGAUGAUUAUUUUGUAGUGUUGUUGGUGAUGAUAUGAUGCAAGAGUUUUUAUAUUAAUAUGAUGAUGAUGUUGAUCAUGAUUAUCAUGAUGAUUUGUAUAGUAGGUAGCAUCGACCAAGCACGGAGAAAGAGAUGUCACUUCUCUCUAUUAGCUAGCUAACACAAUAUGAAACCCCUAAAUUANNNNNNNNNNNNNNNNNNNNNNNNNNNNNNNNNNNNNNNNNNNNNNNNNNNNNNNNNNNNNNNNNNNNNNNNNNNNNNNNNNNNNNNNNNNNNNNNNNNNNNNNNNNNNNNNNNNNNNNNNNNNNNNNNNNNNNNNNNNNNNNNNNNNNNNNNNNNAAAAAACUCCAGCGCCUGCGAGCUGCUGAUGUGUGGCAGCCUUUUGGUCGCGGUUGGUGUUACCAACCGGGACUAAAGGUCCUCCUGCCGGGGCGCGCUGCAGCGGCCACGUGGAGCCCCUUUUGUCCCGGUUCGUAAGCGAACUGGGACUAAAGGUUUUGGGAUUUAGUCCCGACCCUUUAGUCCCGGUUUCAGAACCGGGACUAAAGACCCUCUCAAACCGGGAUUAAUGGGCUGUUUUCUACUAGUGUCCUAUGGGCUUUCUGAAUUUGCUUUCUUCCAAAGUAGGCCAAUUCCCAUUAUCCUACGUUGUAUGCAAGUUAGCGAUGUAAUCUUACAGUACAUGGUAAGUAUCUACAUGGGCAACUAAAAAAAUAUCUACACGUGAGGGACCAUACUUCUUUGCAUCCUAUCUAAGGAGGCAUCCAUGCAUAAUAUAAAUACUAGUGGUUGAGGCCCGCAGCUUGAGAGAAAGCUGUGCAUACCUCAUCUUCAUUUAAAAAUUAAGAAAUCCUUCUCACGUCACAUCAACAUCAUAUCCAUCUCAAAAAGAAAAAAAGAAAAUCUUCAUCUUAACAUUAAAAAAACAUUCUCACGUCACAUGAACAUCAUAUCCAUCUCAUAAAGAAAAAAGAAAGGAAAAAAGCUAUAAAAACUUUUCUCUAAAAAAUAAAAAUGUCUUACUUCCAUCUUCGAAAAAUUAUCUAAAAAAAUCAAAAAAAUUCUCACUGUGGCCAACCAGCAUGCGGCGCAUAGCUAGUUGGCCACCUUUCUACCGCACCUUAAUGUGUUUUGUACGUCCCCAAAGCUGAAAUUAUACAGUUGGCAAAAGACAAGAGUAAAGAUUUUCACGUGGAUGUCAUCUUUCUUCCAAGAAAAAUGAUUUCCAUGUGGGUGUUUUUUUUUGAGAAAAUUUUCAUUCAUAUCACGAAUCAGUACAACGAAGUUGAUCAUUACAAGUACACUGAAAUGCAAACACAAAGGAUCAUGAACACCUAGAGUAUCCUAAAACAAUCAUAACACAAGAAGAUCUCCGAAGCCCUGGGUCAUCAUCCCUAAAUCUUGAGAGAAGACCCCUGCAGCAGAAGGAUCUGCAACCAGUCGCAAGCAGGUCAUCAUCUUUGACCACGGUACAAUUGCCGCCACGCUGCUUCCUCCUUUCUUGACACUAGCGCUGAGAGGGCAUGGACAUCAAUCCAACACACCUGCAACAGCCGUCGCCAUCUUUGGCUUUGAGUACCGCGAAAAGUGUCCCUUCCGGAAGGAAGAGAACUCGAGUCAUUCGACCGGUCCAGCACCGCGGCCGGGCCAUCCGCCCGGACAAAGUAGGAUUUCCCACCAGCAUCAGCACAGAGCAAGGAGAAGAACAGCAGCAACAAAUCAUACCAACAAGGAAGAAGAAGGGUCUUCGUCUCCCUGUGGCUUGUUGUAAUCUGAACAUAUGGGCUGACAUGGUAUGAUGGUUGUAACCUGAUGUUGGUGGUUACAAAUCUUACCUCGUGCCUUUCUCUCCGAGAACCAAAUCCUACCUUAUUCUUUCCAAAGUAAUAUUAUGACGCUCCAUUUUUGAUUCACGGAACAUAGACCGGUUACAUUUUUCAGGCUGUAAUUUUACCCCACAUGCUUUUGUUUCUUAUAUUUUGAAUUGUGACCGUGUGAGAUGGCUGGUGUAAGGAAUAAGAAUUCCUUACAGAGGGUGACGAAUAGCGCGACCCUACAUGUAUAUAUAAGAUAUAAGACAUUGGUUCGAAGGAGUAAUCUAGUACUCACACUAACAAAGAAACAUAUAAGAGAUCAUAACAUAAGAUAUUCGUAGGUAGCGAUUACAUGUUAGUAGAUUGCUCCACUAAACUAUUUAGUACUUCCACUAGAAAUCGUGGAGCCCUUUAUUAGGAGGCGCCUAGUAAAAUCCCUACGAAUGAAGAGAAACACAAAUGAUGUGGAAUAUUGUGAAACAAAGAGACUAGAAGUGGUGUUGGGCUCCGAUUCUUGCUUGUUUGAAAUUGAAAUUUAGUGGUAUCCGCCUUUGCCGCCUCCGGAUCCGCUGCCUC